This 1116-nucleotide long non-coding RNA is filed under the name Marmota monax (woodchuck). The record is from RNAcentral. Lineage: Eukaryota; Metazoa; Chordata; Mammalia; Rodentia; Sciuridae.
GUUCAGCCCAGAGGAAGGGACCAGCCUCAGGACAGGGGAAGCUGGAGUUGGUGAGGGGGACCCCAAACCUACGAAGCCAGGCAGUAUCCUCUAAGAAAGUUUGGGGGAGUCAGGAGCGGGGGCAAGGGACAUGUCCCUUCAUACUGAACCCUCACGUUGGCACAAUGGGAGGGCUCCUGAGAGGAUGGCAUUGGGUGGGGAACCUCCUGGACACCCCCUCAGGGACAAGUGGAGAGCUGGGGUGCAGGAAGAACAGUCGCAGGUCACUCGGCCCUUCCUCUGUGGAAUUUCCCCUUCCAGUCCCAACCAUGGGUCCCGUGUUUUCUGGUGGGUCUGAAAGCAGCCGCCCUGGAGUGGGGGUGACACUCUGGGGCAGAGGGAGGGACCAGCUCCAACGGCACUGGGACACUGAGUGAGCCCAUCCUGUGGCUCCAUAAAUAGACGCCACCUUCCUAGAUCAUGCACCCCGAGGGUGGAGGUGGGAGCCGGAGCCGGGGUUCCCUGUUGCCAUCUGUACCCCCAGGUCCCCCUGCAUCAGAGACAGCGUGGGUGGCGACUGGCCGCUCUUCCUGGCACCUAGCUAGGCUCUCUUCCCAGACCAGAAUGAUUCAGAAAGCAAGAAGGUGACCUUUUCCUUCCGUGUCAGUCACUUUUUUGAUUCCAGGGCUUAUUCAGGGACAUUUUAAGUAAUCUAAUGAAAGCAAAAAGGAGUGAUGUCACAUUAUUGAGGUCCCUUGGCGCCAGGCGGGGGGCAGUGGAGGAGUGCAUCCUCUCCCUGCCCUUGCAUGUGCAGAUGCUUCGGGACCAAGGAACAGAGGCCAGGGCAGGUCUGUGCACCACACAGCAGACCAGGACUCACAGCCUGGGCAGGGGUGGUGUCUGAGAGGCCUGGCUUAGAGGCCAUGUGCUCAGGAAUGGUGCCCAAAGCCAACUCAGGGCUGCUCCUGUGCAGACCCUGAGGCUGCCUCAGCAGGCAUCACUGAUGUGCUUCAGCUUGGCACUGGACGUCACGCUGUCCCCAUGAAUCAGGAAGCUGGGUCCCACUGGGGCCUCCUGGUCACCUGUGUGCACCCCAGGUGUGAGGGGUCUGGGAGAGCAUCUGUUGCCCUGCAGGAC